UAUACAUCCAGAGGCACAUCCGCUUUGAAGCUAUCAUAAAGCAUGGCAGGCAGAGUAAAGAAUACGAUAUCUUUCGUGAAAAGCAUAUAUAAAGAUGACUUUAGAUGGUCAAUAGUGAAGAGUGCAGUUGUAUUUGUGGGUGGAAUUUUACUAAUCCAGACCAUUGCUAAUUUGGAACCAGAGCCAUUACCAGCAGCUCCCCAAGCUUAGACCAGGCAAGGAUAUUUAUGCAAUGGAAAUAUCACAGUUAAAAGGAAAUUGAAGCCUCAGGGAUACAACUGGCAUGACAAAAAUAUAAAUGAUAAAAGACUCGAGACAUUUUGCAGUGGUUUUGAGACACUGAACCCAGAGAUGCAGGUUUCGAGUGCUGUGAUUGGAAAGAGACAGCUAUCUGAAUACUAAAUUUGGAUAAAACCGGCACUUGGACUUUGGAAUAGACUUGAGAUGUGUUGGGGAAAAAACAAUUUUUAUGUGAAAAAUUACACAAACAAUAUGUAUACUUUUGUGUGGUGUAACAUGUUUAUAUACGAAUAAAGGUAUGUUCUAAAUCUGAAAGGAACUGCUUAUUUUGA
This 572-nucleotide long non-coding RNA is filed under the name Lingula anatina. Its description in RNAcentral is "uncharacterized LOC106157317". The record is from RNAcentral. Lineage: Eukaryota; Metazoa; Brachiopoda; Lingulata; Lingulida; Lingulidae.